This 1425-nucleotide small RNA is filed under the name Histoplasma capsulatum. RNAcentral describes it as "hypothetical RNA". Lineage: Eukaryota; Fungi; Ascomycota; Eurotiomycetes; Onygenales; Ajellomycetaceae. The record is from RNAcentral. RNAcentral also lists the same sequence under 1 other name.
GCGACAGGGGGAUAAGGCCGGGGAUGGAAUUCUUGUUGGUUGGUGGGAAGUGUUGAAGUGGCUUCAAACGAGGAGGGAAGGGGACAAUGAUAGCGAUUUAGAGUGGACUGCAAUGGUGAUUGUCCUCUUUACAAUGGGGGUUUAUUUUAUUGAGGGCAACCGCUCGAAAGCUCCGGCUAGACCAAAGCGAAGAAAAGCCGAGUUUCUUCGAUCUAGUAGCGGCAGCUCAGUUGACCUUGACAACUGGGAUAGUAUGCUGGACCAAGAAACUGGAUCGCGUGGUGUUGCCUCAGCUUGGAUGACGGGCUCUUCUUGGGGUUGGAUUUCGGAAGGCGAUUUGAAGACUAUGGAAGAAGUAUCCUGGGCAGAUCAUCGACCCGGUCCUGAGACGGCAGCCAAUUCCCGAAAAAAUCCCUAUAUUCUUCGGUGUGUGGCGUUAUCCCGAGAGUUUCUUGCUUCUCCCCAAGGUGAGGCUGCAAUGGGUGCGGAAGGCUACUUGCCAACUGCAGUGUCUUGCGACUCUGACACGAGACGAACUGCUCUUGGCACGAUAUUGGUGGGACUACAUUUAUUUCGUGAGGAGCAGAAGUUGUCUACCAUCAAUGCAGAGAGUUCUUAUUCGAAAGCUGGCCUUCUUGCCCCAGUCUUAGCACAAAUUGGUGGAUGGCUGGGGUGGGAAUCCUGGAACUGGAAAGAUCAUGGCUAUUACGGCGUCGAGAUGGCGAGUAUAGAUCGGUGGCUGUUUGAAGAAUCCAGAAUUUCAACUUUGGACUUACCUGAAGAGCCUUUCCCCCCACCUUCGAUACUCUCAUUUAUUGAAAAAUCUCUGAACCAUGAACAAGUUAAAUUCUUGACGAUUCUCGACAUAGUACCAAGCUCUGCGUCACCAGCCAGGCGAGAUUCUGCCAUGCAGCGAGCUAUGAGGCUCACACCAAGGACUUUGGCAUUAAGUGGUUUCAUUUCCGAGCUAAAACCACAAACUACUAUUGAGGAACGAGUGGAACUGUUGUUUCGUUGGGGCUUAACAAGUUCCGUAAUUGAUACCCUCCCUGACGGAAUCAGUGCUUCCCUUCACGAAGCGAUUGCUCAAUGCCAACCGGCGCCUCCAAGCCACUGGGGUGGCUCCAUGUUCGCAUUGAUCGACAGAGGCGACCUUCUCAUGUCGAUGACUGAAGAUAGGGCCAGUACUCCAAUAUCAAGGUCUCCAUUUAUCCAAUCCCACGAUGCUGUACGUGACGUUCAUUCGAUUGGGAGCCAGUCACUCGAUGGGACUACUUUGAAUUCUUUCGAAGUUUCCGCUGAAGCCGAUAGACAGUUAAUUACUCGGCUUAUUUUCCGCGAGAUCGACGCUUUUAUGAAGCAUUUAGGAUUCUUAAUCAAUGAAACCUCCAUAUGUGGAAUGUGUCCCAGCCCCAGGAUUGUCUG